RNAcentral lists this ribosomal RNA (503 nucleotides) under uncultured bacterium. RNAcentral's name for it is "partial 16S ribosomal RNA". It matches the Rfam family "Bacterial small subunit ribosomal RNA", at positions 30 to 523 of the family's 1533-position model. The record is from RNAcentral.
AUUGAACGCUGGCGGCAGGCUUAACACAUGCAAGUCGAGCGGGGUGAUGGUGCUUGCACUAUCACUUAGCGGCGGACGGGUGAGUAAUGCUUAGGAAUCUGCCUAUUAGUGGGGGACAACAUCUCGAAAGGGAUGCUAAUACCGCAUACGUCCUACGGGAGAAAGCAGGGGAUCACUUGUGACCUUGCGCUAAUAGAUGAGCCUAAGUCGGAUUAGCUAGUUGGUGGGGUAAAGGCCUACAAAGGCGACGAUCUGUAGCGGGUCUGAGAGGAUGAUCCGCAACACUGGGACUGGGACACGGCCCAGACUCCUACCGGAGGCAGCAGUGGGGAAUAUUGGACAAUGGGGGGAACCCUGAUCCAGCCAUGCCGCGUGUGUGAAGAAGGCCUUAUGGUUGUAAAGCACUUUAAGCGAGGAGGAGGCUCUUUUGGUUAAUACCCAAGAUGAGUGGACGUUACUCGCAGAAUAAGCACCGGCUAACUCUGUGCCAGCCGCCGCGGUAA